RNAcentral lists this ribosomal RNA (373 nucleotides) under uncultured organism. RNAcentral's name for it is "partial 16S ribosomal RNA". It matches the Rfam family "Bacterial small subunit ribosomal RNA", at positions 527 to 896 of the family's 1533-position model. The record is from RNAcentral.
GUAGGGGGCAAGCGUUGUCCGGAAUUAUUGGGCGUAAAGCGCGCGCAGGCGGUCUCUUAAGUCCGAUGUGAAAGCCCACGGCUCAACCGUGGAGGGUCAUUGGAAACUGGGGGACUUGAGUGUAGGAGAGGAAAGUGGAAUUCCACGUGUAGCGGUGAAAUGCGUGGAUAUGUGGAGGAACACCAGUGGCGAAGGCGACUUUCUGGCCUACAACUGACGCUGAGGUGCGAAAGCGUGGGGAGCAAACAGGGAUUAGAUACCCUGGUAGUCCACGCCGUAAACGAUGAGUGCUAGGUGUUAGGGGUUUCGAUGCCCCUUAGUGCCGAAGUUAACACAUUAAGCACUCCGCCUGGGGAGUACGACCGCAAGGUUG